AACUUCUGAACGUUGACCUCGAAUCAGGUAGGAAUACCCGCUGAACUUAAGCAUAUCAAUAAGCGGAGGAAAAGAAACCAACAGGGAUUGCCCUAGUAACGGCGAGUGAAGCGGCAACAGCUCAAAUUUGAAAUCUGGCUCUCGGGCCCGAGUUGUAAUUUGUAGAGGAUGCUUUUGGUGAGGUGCCUUCCGAGUUCCCUGGAACGGGACGCCAUAGAGGGUGAGAGCCCCGUCUGGUUGGACACCGAUCCUCUGUAAAGCUCCUUCGACGAGUCGAGUAGUUUGGGAAUGCUGCUCUAAAUGGGAGGUAUAUGUCUUCUAAAGCUAAAUACCGGCCAGAGACCGAUAGCGCACAAGUAGAGUGAUCGAAAGAUGAAAAGAACUUUGAAAAGAGAGUUAAAAAGUACGUGAAAUUGUUGAAAGGGAAGCGCUUGUGACCAGACUUGGGCUUGGUUGAUCAUCCAGGGUUCUCCCUGGUGCACUCUUCCGGCUCAGGCCAGCAUCAGUUCGCCCCGGGGGAAAAAGGCUUCGGGAAUGUGGCUCUCUCCGGGGAGUGUUA
RNAcentral lists this ribosomal RNA (559 nucleotides) under Fusarium sp. AF-9. RNAcentral's name for it is "eukaryotic LSU rRNA". It matches the Rfam family "Eukaryotic large subunit ribosomal RNA", at positions 1 to 558 of the family's 3401-position model. The record is from RNAcentral. Lineage: Eukaryota; Fungi; Ascomycota; Sordariomycetes; Hypocreales; Nectriaceae.